Molecule: ribosomal RNA, 259 nt
Filed under: uncultured bacterium
Lineage: Bacteria
Description: partial 16S ribosomal RNA
Rfam family: Bacterial small subunit ribosomal RNA
Source: RNAcentral
GUCUACGCUGUCAAAGAUGAGUGUUAAUGGCAGGAAGUUUCUCUGUUAUUUAGUUAACGCGUUAAACACUCCGCCUGGGGAGUACGAUUGCAAAAUUGGAACCCAAAGGAAUUGACGGGGCCCGCACAAGCGGUGGAGCAUGUGGUUUAAUUCGACGCAACGCGAAGAACCUUACCAGCCCUUGACAUGUCCCGUGUGGGUGGGGAGACCCCAUCCUUCAGUUCGGCUGGCGGGAACACAGGUGCUGCAUGGCUGUCGU